RNAcentral lists this ribosomal RNA (1383 nucleotides) under Streptococcus thermophilus. RNAcentral's name for it is "bacterial SSU rRNA". It matches the Rfam family "Bacterial small subunit ribosomal RNA", at positions 70 to 1440 of the family's 1533-position model. Lineage: Bacteria; Bacillati; Bacillota; Bacilli; Lactobacillales; Streptococcaceae. The record is from RNAcentral.
AGAGAGGAGCUUGCUCUUCUUGGAUGAGUUGCGAACGGGUGAGUAACGCGUAGGUAACCUGCCUUGUAGCGGGGGAUAACUAUUGGAAACGAUAGCUAAUACCGCAUAACAAUGGAUGACACAUGUCAUUUAUUUGAAAGGGGCAAUUGCUCCACUACAAGAUGGACCUGCGUUGUAUUAGCUAGUAGGUGAGGUAAUGGCUCACCUAGGCGACGAUACAUAGCCGACCUGAGAGGGUGAUCGGCCACACUGGGACUGAGACACGGCCCAGACUCCUACGGGAGGCAGCAGUAGGGAAUCUUCGGCAAUGGGGGCAACCCUGACCGAGCAACGCCGCGUGAGUGAAGAAGGUUUUCGGAUCGUAAAGCUCUGUUGUAAGUCAAGAACGGGUGUGAGAGUGGAAAGUUCACACUGUGACGGUAGCUUACCAGAAAGGGACGGCUAACUACGUGCCAGCAGCCGCGGUAAUACGUAGGUCCCGAGCGUUGUCCGGAUUUAUUGGGCGUAAAGCGAGCGCAGGCGGUUUGAUAAGUCUGAAGUUAAAGGCUGUGGCUCAACCAUAGUUCGCUUUGGAAACUGUCAAACUUGAGUGCAGAAGGGGAGAGUGGAAUUCCAUGUGUAGCGGUGAAAUGCGUAGAUAUAUGGAGGAACACCGGUGGCGAAAGCGGCUCUCUGGUCUGUAACUGACGCUGAGGCUCGAAAGCGUGGGGAGCGAACAGGAUUAGAUACCCUGGUAGUCCACGCCGUAAACGAUGAGUGCUAGGUGUUGGAUCCUUUCCGGGAUUCAGUGCCGCAGCUAACGCAUUAAGCACUCCGCCUGGGGAGUACGACCGCAAGGUUGAAACUCAAAGGAAUUGACGGGGGCCCGCACAAGCGGUGGAGCAUGUGGUUUAAUUCGAAGCAACGCGAAGAACCUUACCAGGUCUUGACAUCCCGAUGCUAUUUCUAGAGAUAGAAAGUUACUUCGGUACAUCGGUGACAGGUGGUGCAUGGUUGUCGUCAGCUCGUGUCGUGAGAUGUUGGGUUAAGUCCCGCAACGAGCGCAACCCCUAUUGUUAGUUGCCAUCAUUCAGUUGGGCACUCUAGCGAGACUGCCGGUAAUAAACCGGAGGAAGGUGGGGAUGACGUCAAAUCAUCAUGCCCCUUAUGACCUGGGCUACACACGUGCUACAAUGGUUGGUACAACGAGUUGCGAGUCGGUGACGGCGAGCUAAUCUCUUAAAGCCAAUCUCAGUUCGGAUUGUAGGCUGCAACUCGCCUACAUGAAGUCGGAAUCGCUAGUAAUCGCGGAUCAGCACGCCGCGGUGAAUACGUUCCCGGGCCUUGUACACACCGCCCGUCACACCACGAGAGUUUGUAACACCCGAAGUCGGUGAGGUAACC